This 84-nucleotide transfer RNA is filed under the name Amylostereum chailletii. RNAcentral describes it as "tRNA-Trp". It matches the Rfam family "tRNA". From Rfam's summary of the family: Transfer RNA (tRNA) molecules are approximately 80 nucleotides in length. Lineage: Eukaryota; Fungi; Basidiomycota; Agaricomycetes; Russulales; Stereaceae. The record is from RNAcentral.
GGCCCUUUAGCUCAGUGGAUUAGAGCAUGUGAUUCCAGCUUUGGGACCUCCACAAGGUCGUCCGUUCGAUCCGGGCAAGGGUCA